CAUGUCAAUGCGCUUUGAUGACGUGGCAACAAAUUGCGUCCACAUCAGCGCGAUUUGUGUCCACAUCAGCAAAGCGCGCUGAUGUGG
Non-coding RNA from Gossypium hirsutum (cotton), 87 nucleotides. The record is from Rfam. Lineage: Eukaryota; Viridiplantae; Streptophyta; Magnoliopsida; Malvales; Malvaceae.